GAUGAACGCUGGCGGCGUGCCUAAUACAUGCAAGUCGAGCGAACAGACGAGGAGCUUGCUCCUCUGACGUUAGCGGCGGACGGGUGAGUAACACGUGGAUAACCUACCUAUAAGACUGGGAUAACUUCGGGAAACCGGAGCUAAUACCGGAUAAUAUAUUGAACCGCAUGGUUCAAUAGUGAAAGACGGGUUUGCUGUCGCUUAUAGAUGGAUCCGCGCCGCAUUAGCUAGUUGGUAAGGUAACGGCUUACCAAGGCAACGAUGCGUAGCCGACCUGAAAGGGUGGUCGGCUAGCCUGGAACUGAGACUCGGUCCAGACUCCUACAGUAGGCCGCAGUAGGGACUCUUCCGCAAUGGGCGAGAGCGUGACAGAGCAACGCCGCGGGAGUGAUGAAGGUGUUAUGAUCGUUAAACUCUGUUAUUAGGAAAGAACAAAUGUGUAAGUACCUAUGCACGUCUUGACGGUACCUAAUCAGAAAGCCACGGCUAACUACGUG
This 497-nucleotide ribosomal RNA is filed under the name uncultured bacterium. RNAcentral describes it as "partial 16S ribosomal RNA". It matches the Rfam family "Bacterial small subunit ribosomal RNA", at positions 28 to 507 of the family's 1533-position model. The record is from RNAcentral.